AACGCUAGCUACAGGCUUAACACAUGCAAGUCGAGGGGCAGCAUUUUAGUUUGCUUGCAAACUGAAGAUGGCGACCGGCGCACGGGUGAGUAACACGUAUCCAACCUGCCGAUAACUCCGGGAUAGCCUUUCGAAAGAAAGAUUAAUACCGGAUGGCAUACGAAUAUCGCAUGAUAUUUUUAUUAAAGAAUUUCGGUUAUCGAUGGGGAUGCGUUCCAUUAGUUUGUUGGCGGGGUAACGGCCCACCAAGACUACGAUGGAUAGGGGUUCUGAGAGGAAGGUCCCCCACAUUGGAACUGAGACACGGUCCAAACUCCUACGGGAGGCAGCAGUGAGGAAUAUUGGUCAAUGGGCGAGAGCCUGAACCAGCCAAGUAGCGUGAAGGAUGAAGGCUCUAUGGGUCGUAAACUUCUUUUAUAUGGGAAUAAUGUUUUCCACGUGUGGAAUUUUGUAUGUACCAUAUGAAUAAGGAUCGGCUAACUCCGUGCCAGCAGCCGCGGUAAUACGGAGGAUCCGAGCGUUAUCCGGAUUUAUUGGGUUUAAAGGGAGCGUAGGUGGAUUGUUAAGUCAGUUGUGAAAGUUUGCGGCUCAACCGUAAAAUUGCAGUUGAAACUGGCAGUCUUGAGUACAGUAGAGGUGGGCGGAAUUCGUGGUGUAGCGGUGAAAUGCUUAGAUAUCACGAAGAACUCCGAUUG
This 695-nucleotide ribosomal RNA is filed under the name uncultured bacterium. RNAcentral's name for it is "bacterial SSU rRNA". It matches the Rfam family "Bacterial small subunit ribosomal RNA", at positions 32 to 715 of the family's 1533-position model. The record is from RNAcentral.